GAUGAACGCUGGCGGCGUGCUUAACACAUGCAAGUCGAACGAAGCACUUUAUUUGAUUUCCUUCGGGACUGAUUAUUUUGUGACUGAGUGGCGGACGGGUGAGUAACGCGUGGGUAACCUGCCUUGUACAGGGGGAUAACAGUUGGAAAUGGCUGCUAAUACCGCAUAAGCGCACAGCAUCGCAUGAUGCAGUGUGAAAAACUCCGGUGGUAUAAGAUGGACCCGCGUUGGAUUAGCUAGUUGGUGAGGUAACGGCCCACCAAGGCGACGAUCCAUAGCCGACCUGAGAGGGUGACCGGCCACAUUGGGACUGAGACACGGCCCAAACUCCUACGGGAGGCAGCAGUGGGGAAUAUUGCACAAUGGGCGAAAGCCUGAUGCAGCGACGCCGCGUGAGCGAAGAAGUAUUUCGGUAUGUAAAGCUCUAUCAGCAGGGAAGAUAAUGACGGUACCUGACUAAGAAGCACCGGCUAAAUACGUG
This 481-nucleotide ribosomal RNA is filed under the name uncultured bacterium. Its description in RNAcentral is "partial 16S ribosomal RNA". It matches the Rfam family "Bacterial small subunit ribosomal RNA", at positions 28 to 507 of the family's 1533-position model. The record is from RNAcentral.